GGCUCAGGACGAACGCUGGCGGCGUGCUUAACACAUGCAAGUCGAGCGAUGAAGCUUCUUCGGGAGUGGAUUAGCGGCGGACGGGUGAGUAACACGUGGGUAACCUGCCUCAUAGAGGGGAAUAGCCUUUCGAAAGGAAGAUUAAUACCGCAUAAGAUUGUAGUACCGCAUGGUACAGCAAUUAAAGGAGUAAUCCGCUAUGAGAUGGACCCGCGUCGCAUUAGCUAGUUGGUGAGGUAACGGCUCACCAAGGCGACGAUGCGUAGCCGACCUGAGAGGGUGAUCGGCCACAUUGGGACUGAGACACGGCCCAGACUCCUACGGGAGGCAGCAGUGGGGAAUAUUGCACAAUGGGGGAAACCCUGAAUGCAGCAACGCCGCGUGAGUGAUGACGGCCUUCGGGUUGUAAAACUCUGUCUUUGGGGACGAUAAUGACGGUACCCAAGGAGGAAGCCACGGCUAACUACGUGCCAGCCGCCGC
RNAcentral lists this ribosomal RNA (481 nucleotides) under uncultured bacterium. RNAcentral's name for it is "bacterial SSU rRNA". It matches the Rfam family "Bacterial small subunit ribosomal RNA", at positions 21 to 518 of the family's 1533-position model. The record is from RNAcentral.